GCCCAAUGAUGAUACCAAGGCGAAUGUGAGCUUACUGGAUGCGAGUCUGAGUUCUCCUGUGUUCCUAUUGGCUGGUAAUCUUGACAGGGCAGUGGAGAUUGGCUGCUCUGUUGUAAGGGCCAACCUACAGUCAUCAAGCACCUUCACUCGCACUCUUCUCUAGAGUAAUGCUGGGGAGAGAGUGAAGGGGCGGACAGUGUGUGUGUGUGUGUGUGUGUGUGGGGACUCGGAGGGAAUCUCAGCUCUGCUGUGUCCAGUAGCCUAUGAACUGCAUCUUUGGUAAUCUGAGGGUA
Molecule: small nucleolar RNA, 293 nt
Organism: Neoarius graeffei (lesser salmon catfish)
Lineage: Eukaryota; Metazoa; Chordata; Actinopteri; Siluriformes; Ariidae
Source: RefSeq, a predicted model, not a curated record